CCGUUAUCCCGAAGAGUCGUGGAAGCACAGAGUCGGUGAGUGGAGGAGUGGAGGAGUAAGAGCGUCAGAGAGGCGAAGAGUCAGCGAGUCAGAUCCACAUCCAGAUAUCGCAGCGGAGGUGUAGCUGCUCUCUCGCACUGAAAGUGGAGACGCGCAAAAGGAGAGAGCCAGACAGACAGACAGACAGACACGACGACGGCAAAGUUUUUUCAUUUGAAUCCUAUUAUUUCAACGUAGUUGUAAUCUUAUUAUCCACGAGAUGACAGCAAAAUGACAUUUAGAAAAUUUCACGCUGUGUGAAAUGUACAAAAAAAACAAAAAAGAGAAACGUAAAACACAACGGAAAAGCAAACCAAACCACACCACACCAAGGAGCAGCAGAAGCAGCAGAGCAGAAGGAGCAGAAGAAGGUGGAGGAACACAAGUCGAACCAGAUCCAACACGGGAAUGCAAGAAAGUCAGCCAAGCAAUGCGUAUGGGGGCGGGGGCGUUGAUGUACUGAAGGGAUGGCUCUGGUCUGAGGUUCCUGAUUGGGAUUGCGUACUGCGGUCCGCGACUCCCCCACCCACUCAAACUUGGUAUUAUUAUUUGGGUGGGGCGUGUUUUUCACAAGUUUUCCUGGCUGCUGCUGCCGCCUGUCGCUGCUUUCCUUUUAAUUUCAAUUCUGACAUUUGUUUGUCUGCUGUCAAAAUAAAGUAGCUUUCGCCGCAAAAAGAAAUAAACCUUAAGAUUG
This 733-nucleotide long non-coding RNA is filed under the name Drosophila guanche. The record is from RNAcentral. Lineage: Eukaryota; Metazoa; Arthropoda; Insecta; Diptera; Drosophilidae.